Molecule: ribosomal RNA, 493 nt
Filed under: uncultured bacterium
Lineage: Bacteria
Description: partial 16S ribosomal RNA
Rfam family: Bacterial small subunit ribosomal RNA
Source: RNAcentral
AACGAACGCUGGCGGCGCGUCUUAAACAUGCAAGUCGAACGGCAGGAAGGGGCUUGCCCCUUCUGAGAGUGGCGGACUGGUGAGUAACACGUGGGUGACAUACCUUUUAGUUGGGGAUAGCUAUUAGAAAUAGUAGGUAAUACCGAAUGUGACCGUACCUGUUAGAGGGGUACGAGGAAAGGAGCUAAGGCUUCGCUAAAAGAAUGGCUCGCGGCCCAUUAUGCUCGUUGGUGAGGUAACGGCCCACCAAGGCGAUGAUGGGUAUCCGGCCUGAGGGGGUGAACGGACACAUUGGGACUGAGAUACGGCCCAGACUUCUACGGGAGGCAGCAGUUAAGAAUAUUCCGCAAUGGACGAAAGUCUGACGGAGCGACGCCGCGUGGAUGAAGAAUGCCGAAAGGUUGUAAAAUCCUUUUAAGCCUGUUGAAUAAGCACAGUAGGGAAUGAUUGUGCGGUGACCGUAGGGCUUGAAUAAGCACCGGCUAAUUACGUG